UCCUUGCAGCAGAGUGGAAGCAUUGCAGAUCAUACAUCAUCUCCUUGUUCUGCCAGCGGUUCUUCAGUAGCUUGCUGGUUAAGGUUCCCUGUCUGGUGACCCGCUCUAGCUUGAUGCCUUCUCUCUCUCUUUCUCUCUCCCUCUCCCUUUCUUUCUUUCUGCAUAGUAACUCCCACCACCAUUCCCCUCCUCAUGUGUGUCACAGGGCUGUAGCUGGGAUCUUGCCAAAGCUAUGAAUGCAGAUAAGCGUCUGAUGCAGUUUAUGUUACUCUUCAGCCGUCAGGGGAAGCUGCGGCUUCAGAAGUGGUAUGUGCCGCUGUCUGACAAAGAGAAGAAGAAAAUUACCAGGGAGUUGGUCCAGACUGUAUUAGCCCGAAAACCGAAAAUGUGCAGCUUCCUGGAAUGGAGAGAUCUGAAGAUCGUAUAUAAAAGAUAUGCCAGCCUUUACUUCUGCUGCGCCAUUGAAGACCAGGACAAUGAAUUGAUCACCUUGGAAAUAAUACACCGUUACGUGGAGCUCUUGGACAAGUAUUUUGGCAGCGUGUGUGAACUCGACAUCAUCUUUAAUUUUGAGAAGGCAUAUUUCAUUCUGGAUGAAUUUCUGUUGGGGGGAGAAGUCCAAGAAACUUCAAAGAAAAAUGUUCUGAAAGCCAUUGAGCAGGCUGACCUGCUACAGGAGCCUACUCUUUACAGUAACGAUCAUCAUGCCGUGGGUACACGGGCUAUCAGAAGCUGAUUGAAUUGGUCUUCCUCAUCUCUGUUGCUGGAAUGCAGUGUUCAUGGGGGAAUCUCUGCAUAUUUCUGCAUAUUUCCACAUAGACUAGAAGAAGUUACAGCCUCGCCAUGAGUACUUUAAUGUGCCAGUGUAUUAAAUGACUGCACUCUCCAUGCAUGCAGAGUAUCAGAGGACUUUGAGUUGGCUACAUCAUGGCAGAAAAUUUCCUUGAAAUGGUGAAAAGAUCCAUCUGUCUGAGAGCAGUGUUUAUCAUUCCUACAGUAUAUAUGGUUUGUGUUUUAUGUCUGUUCCAUUUGUAUGUUUCAUACUGUGACUCAUUGCUUAUGUUACAUUUUUUGUUCUUGUUAAUGUAAGCUUCUGUUAACAAAUGUUCAUUAAACUGUGUAAGCUUUUAUUAAAGUGCAUGUUGCAAUUCGUGGAAUACAAUA
This is an RNA transcript of Pseudophryne corroboree (corroboree frog), 1164 nucleotides long. It is a transcript of the gene named adaptor related protein complex 1 subunit sigma 2, with no coding region annotated. The transcript is spliced from 6 exons. The record is from RefSeq and is a predicted model, not a curated record. Lineage: Eukaryota; Metazoa; Chordata; Amphibia; Anura; Myobatrachidae.